This 776-nucleotide ribosomal RNA is filed under the name uncultured Neocallimastigales. RNAcentral's name for it is "partial large subunit ribosomal RNA". It matches the Rfam family "Eukaryotic large subunit ribosomal RNA", at positions 1 to 616 of the family's 3401-position model. The record is from RNAcentral. Lineage: Eukaryota; Fungi; Neocallimastigomycota; Neocallimastigomycetes; Neocallimastigales.
UUACUAGAGUAGCACUCGCAUAUCAAUAAGCGGAGGAAAAGAAACUAACAAGGAUUCCCCUAGUAACGGCGAGUGAAGCGGGAAGAGCUCAAAUUUGAAAUCUUAAAGGGUUUCCCUUUACGAAUUGUAGUUUAAAGAAGUGUUUUCUGUUGAGGUUUUGGUAAAAGUUCUUUGGAAUAGGACAUCAUAGAGGGUGAGAAUCCCGUAUUUGACCUUUACUUUCAACUUUGUGAUACACUUUCAAAGAGUCGGAUUGUUUGGGAAUGCAGUCCAAAAUGGGUGGUAAAUUUCAGUCUAAAGCUAAAUAUUGGCGAGAGACCGAUAGCGAACAAGUACCGUGAGGGAAAGAUGAAAAGAACUUUGAAAAGAGAGUUAAACAGUACGUGAAAUUGUCAAAAGGGAAGCGUUUGACACCAGUGUUGUUUUUCUGAAAAUCAAUUAAAGAACUGUUUAUGCUAAGCUGUUUAGACUUUAUCAGCUAUCUGUUUAGUUUUGAGCUUUUCUUUAAUGCACUUUUCAGUUAACAAGUCAACAUCAAUUUCUUUUGCUGUAAAAAAGCUUGAGGAAGGUGGCUUGAGAUUCGUCUUAAGUGUUUAUAGCCUCUUGCCUAUGCAGUCGGAGAGAUUGAGGUCUGCAGCGUAGAUCCUUCGGGGCUAAAUGCAUUUGUGCUAAGUUAUAGCAUUUUAUAGACAACUUGUUGACUAUGAUUUGUCUUGUAGCUUACUCGCUUAUGUUAUUUUACCUACGCUUAGGAUGUUGAGCGCAUGUCUCUCUCU